UUUCUCCUUCACUUUUCUCCUUGUCACUCCAAAAUUGCUGCCUCCCGAUAAACUCCGGUUACUGCCGCUGGUAAUGACGUUGCUCAUCUCACUCCCAAGCUCGUCUUACCUCUGUUGAUUCUGUGUCGCCACCUUGCUCGUCUUCCCUGCACGCAACCCCCGCUGCUCACGUCGUUGGUGCGGCCACGGGUCUGAUCUGGGUCACGCGCGCCUCCUCAAUCUCCUGGGGCCAGUCAAUAUUGACGGUUGAUUAGCAGGGCUUGAGGAGCAGCGACGCGAGGGAGGAGUUGAGCUAGUCGAACUCGACGGUGGCGUUGCCGUCGGUGUCCAUGUAGGCGAUGAGGGUGUGGAUCUUGUCCCCUGCGACGGGGCGGAGGCGAGUGAUGCAACACGGACAUCUCCAGUUUGGUGAGUCUGCCAUCGCCAUCAAGGUCGAAGGAGGAGGAGCUUUCGCAGUUGGGUUAGCGGAGGGGGCUCAUCGACGCCCAUACAUUUUUCUUCCAGCACAGCCCUACAAAUGUUGGUGCCUUCGGACUCCAAAAUCAACAAAAAUCGUGCAAAACUGGAGUUUGAGGUACCGCUAUGGGAGGACCUUGAAGUGGCCACAUCCUACCUUUUCCGGGCAUGGGACCGACAUUGACAGUGUUAGGCCCCUUACCAUACAUUAUUAUCGAUGAAAUUUAAGAAUUUAUACACAUAUUUGCGAGUAGUUGUAGUUUAAAUAUUUAUUAAAAGAUUAAUUAAAUUUUAAUAACUGAAUAGUAAAAUAGGUCUGAUUGCGUUAUACAAUACUGAGCUCAACUCCUAUAAGCUUGUAGUCAAUAAUGAGCUUCAAACAUGAGAUACCAUACUAUUUUGAUGUUUGGUAUUAUUGAAUAAUUACUCAGGAGUAACUGUAAUCUGAUGUAUAUAGAUGGUAAGAAACCAUAAGCUUAGAUGGGCGUAAAGCUUUUACCAUUUUUUGGAGAUAUUUCAUAUUUUCAUCAAAUGUUCAUGCAUUUUUUCAAUAUUUCUGUAGAAUAGUAUAUUAUAUUCAUCCUGCCAUAUAGUGUCUAACAUUCAUGUUACCAUAGAUUAGUAAAUUUGUUAAUUUGAAGAGAUUUUGCGGCAAAUUAAUUAUCAAUGUACUUGUGCUUAUGUAAAAGGCUGGCAACAUCAUACGGCAAGUGUGUGUUUUGGACUUUUAGUUCAUAACUUUAGAAAAAUUCUUUGUAGAUUAUGUUCUUGACCCUAACAUCCUUAUUGUUAUCUUCAUCAUUUACCAUUACUUGCAGUCCAUCCCUUUUUCUGACUCUUGAGAAUGGUACAUAUAGUGUCCAUGUGUAAAGACUUGUUCAUGUAGAUAUAGUCCAACCUUGUUUGGAGAGUGCUCCUGGCUUUUGUUAUGGUCAUAGAAAAGCAUGGUGAGAUAGGAUAUUGUCUCCUUUUUAGAAGGCAUAACCACACCCAUUUAGCUGGUGACAUGUUUUUUUGGAAUAUAGACCUUUUCUUCUAGAUGUGAUUCUGUUAUUUACUAUCUUCACUUCGAUGAAUGUGUUUGUACGUUGUACUGAACAAUCACAUACCGUCAUUUUUUUCUUUUGUACCAUUCACAAUCGAGGCUGCAACUUCAGUUGCAGAUGGCAUACCAUGUCGUUUUCCAUCUGCGCCACACUCAUUGGUUAGUUUAAUCUGGCAUUGUGAUAGUUACAGUCUUUGAAUGUGUCACUUGCCAUUCUUAAUGUUUUUGCUCGUAUAUUAUCUCUAUCCAGCAUAUUAUUAAGGGACUCAAUGAUGCGAGGAUCUAUUGAUUCCCUUUAUAUUUUGGGUUUUUAGUGCCAUAUAUGCACAAGCACAACUAUGCCUAGCACGGUCUCUCUUCAGUCUUCACCUUCAGGCACCAAUGUAGCAACUAUGUGGCAGUUUUGCCCGUUCAUUCUAAACACAUAAGGUCCAUUGCGAUUGUUUAUUUCUUUGUGUACCUUACAGGCCAUUAAUGUGAGAUCCAACGUGGAGUUGUACAGUAUGGUAUUUUCCAUGUAGUUUUUUGACCUCUUCCCGGUUUUUUCAUAGCCAUUUCAUGAGGUAAGCCAAUGGCUCUCUCAGUUGGCAGCAUAGUAAGCUACUCCCUCCGUUCCUAAAUAUAAAUAUUUUUAGAGAUUUCACUACAAACUACAUACGGAUGUAUAUAAACAUGUUUCAUAGUGUAGAUUCACUCAUUUUGCUCCGUAUGUAGUUCAUAGUGAAAUCUCUAAAAAGGCUAUAUUUAGGAACGGAGGGAGAACAUGCUUCUAGCUGUACCUGAUGUUCUUUCUGCUUACCAGAAAAUGGCACCAUGUUGCUGUACUUGCCGGUUGCCUCUACGAAGUUUGAAAAAAAUUCAUACCAAGUCCAUUCAAUGUUCAAGUUUCUUAAUUUUGCAUCAUUUAAAUAUCACUGUUGGUUGCUCUUGUUCAUUCUAAAAUUCAAACUUAAUACAACUUACAUAUCUGAUGACGUUUUUCUUUGUCCUCAGUUUUGAUGUUGUGCACCCUUUGUUUUAGUCCUUGAUUGUCUUAUCACUCGGUUCUUGUGGUCAAUGCAUUCAAGAACAUAGUUGAGAUGUUGUUUGGGGCCUAAAAAUAGAAAUAGAUGUAUGAGUUAGUAAAGUAGAAAUAUAACUGGAAAAAUAAUUAUAUGCAUAGUAAAGAGUUACCUUUAACACAAACUAUUAACUCAGGGAAAUGUAAGUAUGGCAAGGGAGUUCAUUAAUCUGGCUUUCAAUGAAUCAUGCGAAUUAAUUUCUUUUGUUCAUAAGAUGGUAAUACCUACUGGAGGUGGAGCGGUCACUAAAAGGAGUCAAUUCGACAAUCAAGGUGAUCGACGGAGAUUGGUUGCCAACCUUGGAUACAAAUUUUUUUUACUAAACAGAAGUAUAGCAAGGACCCGGUUUCGGUCAUAUUAAUCAAUCUAGAUGUAUAGAUUAGUGUUUUUUUUAUUUUAACAUAAUCUAUCAAUCAAGUAUACUUGAUCCAUCACCCAGUGAUCACUUCAUCAGUUUGACAUCCAAUGGAUAGUACUCUCUCUGUACAUAAAUAUAAAUAUAAGAGCGUUUACAUAACCACUUUAGUGAUCUAAGUGCUCUUAUAUUUACUAGAUGACCCGUUGCGCCCAUGGCGCAAAGGCCGAGUAGCAGCCAAGUAUUGAAAGAGUGUGCAUUGAAAUAUGUAAAUAUAGAAUGAAACAUAUGAAAAUAAACACAUAAGAGCCUUUUCACUUGGCAUACAUCUGGACUUAUUCGAGCUAAUAUUCUUGAUAGGGGAAACAACAAUAUUUUUCUUUACACUAAGAGUUUUAAAAAGCAAAGCUUGCAUACCUGCAAUGAGCAGAGAACAUGCAAUAGACAAAGGAACAUUUUUUUAAAGUAAUGUUGCUUCCAAAGCACAGCUCAUGAUAUUGCAUGCAGCAAGCAAAUAAUAGUGAUAGACAAUUAUGCAUAGGCCUUUGGACGUGCAUUUGAAGGCAAAAGCUUAUGUUUCUUUCAGCAUAGCCAUUUCAAAGGCAUGCCAGCAAAUGACUGCAGUUAAAUGCACAAGAUGAUCUUAGGUGAUUACAUAAGAUUUAAAAUGAUGAUAAACAUAGAAGUCUUAGUAGGCAUCUAUAUUAAUGCUAAGUUAUAUAACAAGGGGCUCUUGCAACUUGCUUAUAUUGAGUAGACAGUCAGGCCCAGUCCCUUGAAAGUGCAUUUGAAGGCGAAAACAUAUGCUUGACCUUUCUCCAUGUGCGCCUGACGGAAGAAGUCGCUCCAGCCUCUAGUGAUGGUGGCCCUUUUGUCAACACCCUUGAUAAAGCGGGCUGUGAUAGUGGUAGUUCCAUCUACAGUAGUGAUUGGCAGUUCACCAUGGUCAGCAUCCAUGUAUGGGGAAAGGGAGCUCUUAGAAAAGGGAACCCCAAAGUACUGAAAAUGACAGUAAAGGUUAGUUAGUAUAUCAUUUUAUACGAUGUCAUUGUAUGAUACAGAACAAAGUAAUGGCAAAGGAUUACCAUCCUUCUGUCGUCUGUAGCAAAUGUUUCUAUCAUAUGGCACACAUAGUAAUGAUUAGGUGUGGUGGUGUCGUGGAUGAUCUUUUGCAGUCUACGAACAUUAAUAUUGUUGUCUAGAUUGCUGGUUUGGAGUUUUUGUCGUGCCUCGAUGAAAACAAAAGGACAGAGAGAAAUUCUAGUUUUGAUACAUUAUCUUUUCCUUCCCUUUUGGAUGUUUGCGAAUUCCGACCUGUCCAAUGAAGAAACAAAUGCUCAAUUUAGUGAACCUCAAAUUCUCAAAUUCGGUUUUGGAUGAUCACAAUGUGUUUUUAUCUUCAGCUACUUAUGGUUAUGCGCACCUUGGCCUCUUACCCGCUGUAAAACUCUUGUUUCUUUGAUGAAAUGGAACAGGGUGGUGUGGUCCAUGCAGCUCCUAUAUUUUGAGAAAUAAAAUCUUAUGCUUAUAUUGUAAAUGGAAAACUUUUAUAAUCCACCGAAUGAUUUAUGAUACUAAAAUAACUAUAUAUAGAAGAAAUUAUCUCAGUGGAAACAACGAUUAUACUAAGAAGACCACCUGUACAGACACAUCGGUUGGUGAAUAGUGCACCGAUUUUAUAAACAAUUAUUUGGAGGAGAUAGAAAGUGAACUAAAUCAUUACACGGAAUACCUAAACGUAUUGGAAAUAUUGUACUGGUACUUGCUAUAUGGUUAACAAAAUAGUCCACGGGAUUAACUUGGAAACAAAUAUAUAGUUCUUCACCAGCCGCCUUGUUUGUGCGCCACGUGCCUCUGUGGGGUCCUCACACCGCCCUCCCUUUCUCUUAUCUCCAGCCAAGAAACAGACAACCACAUAUUCCCCCCAAGCCCCUCCUCCCUUCCUCUGUCUCUCCCUCCCUCAAGCCCCUCUUACCUCCCCGAUCUGCUAGCGAUGCAUCCAAAUCGAUGACCUCUAUGCGCGUCCUAAGAGAAAGUGAGGCAGAGGGAGCGGCCCAUGGCUGGAUUAAGCUGCUGCGAAGCUCAGUGCCUCUGCUGCGAGCCUGCAGAGAUGAGAGUAUGGGCGUCGGCUGACGACGGGAUACUGUGGGCGUUGGCGGCCGAGGCUACAAUGGAGCCCGGCACCACGGCACCCGGAGCUGCAAUGAAGCUCUGCCUGGGCUGCGAUGGAGCCCGGCACCACGGCGGCCGGAGCUGCAAUGGAGCUCCGUCAGGGCUGCAAUGAAGAGCGGGCGCUACUGCCGGCGGCGUGGCAAGUCGAGGACGGCGACGCUCGCCACCGGUGCUGCAAUGAAGCGAGCAUUGAUGCCGGCGGCAUUGCAAUGGAGCAGGUGCUGCUGCGGGCGGCGCGGCAAGUCGAGGAAGGCGACACUCGCCACCAGUGAUGCAAUGAAGCGAGCGUUGCUGCCAACGACGCGACAAGCCGAGGACGGGGCGCUGCAAUGAAGCGUCAAUGGAGCCACUGACGACGGCGCUGCUGCGUGGCGAGGGAUGCAAUACUAUGGCAGUGCCGCCGCCUCGAUGAUGUUGUGCUUGUCUGGGUCGCAACAUCGCCGCUGCUGCGAUAUCGUCGGCGCUGGCUCCGUUGCCACGUUGAGGACCUGCUGUAGUCACCUUGGUCACGCGGAGUUGUAGUCGUGUUUGCUGCUUUGCGUUGCUUGUGCUGGUAGCGGUGGAUGAUUUCAUAGCAGCCGCCGUUGUAAAUUGGUGCUACCGCAUCAGGCGAGUGGCGGUUCCCUGAUCCUUGCAUGCAGAACCAGUUUAGAUGGGAGUUCUAACGACGCAUUAUACAAGGAGCUAUGACAUGCUUGAGCUAGGCUGUUGAUCACGGUGCCUUGCCAAGGUGAAAGAAUUUACUACUUUCCAGAUGGUUAUAUGGAACAGGUAUGUCUCACCGCAUUGAUGUUUGCUCUUCUUGAUGCCCCAUAACUAAUGAAUGAAUUUUGCUACUCAACACAAACAAUAGCAAUUUGUGCUAGGGGCACUGCUUGAUCUUGUGUUAAAUAAUAAUCAUCCAGGUAUUAGGGUCCUUGUGUGUGCGAGGCGUGUGCUUGUCUAGUAUGGUCAUGUAUUAGUUAAAAAAUGAGUAUCCAUGAGAGGGCACCACUUUACAUUCAGUGCUUCCAGCCUUGUAGGCGUCACCAUAAGUCCCUUUGACAAGCUUCACUGUGAUGCCUAACUAACUAUUUCACAAACAUUUUUUUAGCUAAUAAAAGCAACAGUGAAGGUAAAUAAACUCAUUUUCACAUGUCAUGACAAACUGAUUUCUUCCGUCCGCCCUAAAAACAUAGUACUAAUACACCGAGAGACUGUACAAUUGAUCAAGCUACUUUACAAAUUAAUUUAGGAACAGACUAAACAUAUCAGGAUAUACACCAGUUGACUACGAAGAAAAGAAUUCAUCAUCUACUAAUACUCUACUAAAUGAAUACAUCCAUUCACAUCUUCAAAAUUGUAUUAUACAUGUCAGAGAAUGACCAACGGUACUUGUUCUUCUCUGAAAGAUGUCAAAAAAAUACAAUUAGUAGAGAAGUUAGAAGGAUUUUGAGCUCUAAACUCUAGUUAUCAAUAGACUUGACUGUCUACCGAUCUCCAACCGGUUAAUUUAUGACUCAUUAGGUUUACCUAUAAGUGAGCAAUGGUCUGUAAGAUGUGACUUGCUUGCAUGCAUUUCAUAAAUAAAUAUGUAAAUAAAAGUUGGGACUUGCGUACAUACCUGGAUAUUUGCAUUCACAAAGAGACUAUAUAUCUUCAAUUCACAUAUAGGACAAGAAUGUAUAGUCACAAACUCACAAUUCCAUGGCAGCAAAAAUCUUCAACAAUCUGUGAACUCCAUAAAACAAUGAUAUUAGAGAUCUCUUGUUUUGUUGAUAUAUUGACAUAUAGAGGAAGAAGAUUUAGUCGACAGGAGAGGAGAAGCAACCAUCAAUUGUGCUAAUGUCACCUCUCCAUAGUACCAUAUGUCCAAAGGCACUCGAGUAAAAAUUCAAAC
Long non-coding RNA from Triticum dicoccoides, 6968 nucleotides. RefSeq lists it as uncharacterized. NCBI's taxonomy places the organism in Eukaryota, Viridiplantae, Streptophyta, Magnoliopsida, Poales, Poaceae. The record is from RefSeq and is a predicted model, not a curated record. The transcript is spliced from 3 exons.